This 647-nucleotide small RNA is filed under the name Drosophila pseudoobscura pseudoobscura. RNAcentral describes it as "GA31526". Lineage: Eukaryota; Metazoa; Arthropoda; Insecta; Diptera; Drosophilidae. The record is from RNAcentral.
UUAAUGGUCAAAUUAGUUUAAAGUAUAAUUGAAUUUUAAUUUCACUGAGUCGCCGAUAAAAGUAAUUUACUUUGAGCGGCAGCCCUGUCAGCUGUUUACACUGGCAGUGUUCCAGAAGUUUCGCAAGUAAUUCCUCCCGAAUCACUACAUCGAAUUGAGGACUCUUUAGAACGAUAAAAUAAUACCCAAGGAGUUCAAAGGAGAGGUAAGAUCAUUGGCAAGUCUCAAGAUGAUGGAUUUUGAUUGUCCAUUUUCCGUAUUUCCACAGGAGUCUGCGGCAGUUGAGCGACGACCAGUUAUUGGACAACUGUAUGCGCAUUGGCCACGUGCGAAUCGAUCCGGUAUACCAGACAUGGCGCUGGAUGGGUUUCCAUUUCUGUAGGGGUCUUACACUCAUCGUGGACUCGCGCACCAUUACCAUGGUGCACCAGUCCAACAACUUAUAGCGAUUUAGCAGUAGCCGUACAGCAAUACCAUAAGCACUACACUACUGCCAACAUGGACUCGGGCAGAAGACCCCUGGGCCAUGACGAGCUUCUCUGCCGUUGUCUCAUGCUCGGGCUAAGCCCAAUUUGAUUUCUGUUUUGAAUUUUGUACCGCCUACAAUGAGCGUUGCUAUCAAAUGUAUGAUUUAUUUAUCAACUGUU